GCUGAGCUGUGACCACUGCACUGAAGAGAAGUCAGAGAAACAGGACAGAGGACCCAGGCUGCAGCCAGCCCAGAGAAGAGCUCACCUCCUGCCAGACUAGCCAGCUGUGGAAACAGCUGUGCAGCAAAGAAAAGGAGCCCACCCUCUUCUUCUGUCCCAUUUCCCACUCCUGUUGUGGGAUUUGGGGGACUCCUGGAGCAGGUCUUUGGCCAACUUCCCUUCUGGGCAGAACCUUAAAUUCAGGAGCUAAAGGCUCUGCUCCCUCAUAUCUUGGGCCAAAGUCCCAGGGUCCCAGUCAGGGGGUCCAGCUCCGUGGAGAUGCCAGCAGCCCGUCGGUUCCCUGGCCUGGAGCUUUCUUUCCCUCUCCUGGCCAGACUACGGCGACGCCUGUACACAAGGCUGGGGAGCAGCAGCAUGCAGCCUGAGGAGGGCACGGGCUGGCUGCUGGAGCUGCUGUCCGAGGUGCAGCUACAACAGUACUUCCUGCGGCUCCGCGAUGACCUCAAUGUUACCCGCCUGUCCCAUUUUGAGUAUGUCAAGAAUGAGGACCUGGAGAAGAUUGGCAUGGGCCGGCCUGGACAGCGGCGAUUGUGGGAGGCUGUGAAGAGGAGAAAGGCCAUGUGCAAACGCAAGUCUUGGAUGAGCAAGGUGUUCAGUGGAAAGCGACUGGAGGCUGAGUUCCCUCCUCAUCACUCUCAGAGCACCUUCCGGAAGACCUCGCCCACUCCAGGGGGCCCAGCAGGGGAGGGGCCCUUGCAGAGCCUCACGUGCCUCAUUGGGGAGAAGGACCUGCAUCUCUUCGAGAAGCUAGGAGAUGGCUCCUUUGGCGUGGUGCGCAGGGGCGAGUGGGACGCCCCCUCGGGGAAGACGGUGAGUGUGGCUGUGAAGUGCCUGAAGCCUGAUGUGCUAAGCCAGCCAGAGGCCAUGGAUGACUUUAUCCGGGAGGUUAAUGCCAUGCAUUCCCUGGACCAUCGAAACCUCAUUCGUCUUUAUGGUGUGGUCCUCACGCCGCCCAUGAAGAUGGUGACAGAGCUGGCGCCGCUGGGAUCGUUGUUGGACCGGCUGCGCAAGCACCAGGGCCACUUCCUCCUGGGAACUCUGAGCCGCUACGCCGUGCAGGUGGCUGAGGGCAUGGGCUACCUAGAGUCCAAGCGCUUUAUUCACCGUGACCUGGCUGCCCGAAAUCUGCUGUUGGCCACCCGUGACCUGGUCAAGAUUGGGGACUUCGGGUUGAUGCGUGCACUACCCCAGAAUGACGACCACUAUGUCAUGCAAGAGCAUCGCAAGGUGCCCUUUGCCUGGUGUGCUCCCGAGAGCCUGAAGACACGUACCUUCUCCCAUGCCAGUGACACCUGGAUGUUUGGGGUAACAUUGUGGGAGAUGUUCACCUAUGGCCAGGAGCCCUGGAUUGGCCUCAAUGGCAGUCAGAUUCUGCAUAAGAUUGACAAGGAGGGGGAACGUCUGCCGCGGCCUGAGGACUGCCCACAGGAUAUCUACAAUGUCAUGGUUCAGUGCUGGGCUCACAAGCCAGAGGACAGACCCACCUUUGUGGCCCUGCGGGACUUCCUGCUGGAGGCCCAGCCCACUGACAUGAGGGCGCUUCAGGACUUUGAGGAGCCAGACAAGCUGCACAUCCAGAUGAAUGACGUCAUCACUGUCAUCGAGGGAAGGGCUGAGAAUUACUGGUGGCGUGGACAGAACACCCGGACACUGUGUGUGGGACCCUUUCCUCGCAACGUGGUGACCUCCGUGGCUGGCCUUUCAGCCCAGGACAUCAGCCAACCCCUGCAGAAUAGCUUCAUCCACACGGGACAUGGCGACAGUGACCCCCGCCACUGCUGGGGCUUCCCUGACAAGAUUGAUGAACUGUACCUGGGAAACCCCAUGGACCCUCCUGACCUGCUGAGCGUGGAACUGAGCACCUCCCGACCCACCCAACAUCUAGGAAGGGUGAAAAGGGAGCCUCCACCUCGCCCACCUCAGCCUGCCAUCUUCGCUCAGAGUAAGUGGGGCUGCUCUCGAUGCCUUGGCCCCUGCCCCUGCCCCCUCUCUCCUCUCAUUCCUCCUCUCCUUCUGAAAGAGCCAACCUACGACCCAGUGAGUGAGGACCAGGACCCUCUGUCCAGCGACUUCAAGAGGCUGGGCCUCCGGAAACCAGGCCUGACCCGUGGGCUGUGGCUGGCGAAGCCCUCAGCUCGGGUGCCGGGCACCAAGGCAGGGCGUGGCGGCGGGAGCGAGGUCACACUCAUUGACUUCGGCGAGGAGCCUGUCGUCCCCGCCCCCCGGCCCUGUGCACCCUCACUGGCACAGCUGGCUAUGGAUGCCUGCUCCUUGCUGGACAAGACUCCACCGCAGAGCCCCACUCGGGCACUGCCCCGGCCCCUGCAUCCCACACCUGUGGUGGACUGGGAUGCCCGCCCGCUGCCCCCGCCUCCUGCCUAUGACGAUGUGGCCCAGGAUGAGGACGACUUUGAAGUCUGCUCCAUCAACAGCACCCUGGUGGCUGCAGGGGUCUGUGCUGGGCCCAGCCAGGGUGAAACCAAUUAUGCCUUUGUGCCUGAGCAGGCGCAGCUCCUCCCUCCCCUGGAGGACAAUUUGUUCCUCCCACCCCAGGGUGGGAGCAAGCCGCCCAGCUCGGCCCAGACCGCACAGAUCUUCCAGGCGCUGCAGCAGGAGUGCAUGCGGCAGCUGCGGGUCCCGGCUGGCUCCCUGGUCCCUUCACCUGGCCCAGCCCCAGCGGGUGAGGACAAGCCCCAGGUGCCCCCCCGGGUGCCCAUCCCCCCGAGGCCCACUCGCCCACGUGGUGAGCUGUCUCCAGCCCCCUCAGGUGAGGAGGAGAUAGGGCGGUGGCCUGGACCUGCCUCCCCUCCCCGGGUGCCUCCCCGGGAGCCCCUGUCCCCUCAAGGCUCGAGGACCCCUAGCCCCCUGGUACCACCUGGAAGCUCCCCACUGCCACCCCGGCUCUCAAGCUCACCUGGGAAGACCAUGCCCACCACCCAGAGCUUUGCCUCAGACCCCAAGUAUGCUACACCACAAGUGAUCCAGGCACCCGGCCCACGGGCUGGUCCCUGCAUCCUACCCAUCGUCCGUGAUGGCAAGAAGGUCAGCAACACCCACUAUUACCUGCUGCCCGAGCGCCCACCCUACCUGGAACGCUACCAGCGCUUCCUGCGUGAGGCCCAAAGCCCUGAAGAGCCAGCCCCCUUGCCUGUGCCCCUGCUGCUGCCCCCACCCAGCACCCCAGCCCCUGCCGCCCCCACUGCCACUGUUCGACCAAUGCCCCAGGCUGCCCCAGACCCCAAGGCCAACUUCUCCACCAACAACAGUAACCCAGGGGUCCGGCCACCAGCCCUGAGGGCCACUGCACGGCUGCCACAGAGGGGCUGCCCUGGGGACGGGCCAGAGGCUGGACGACCAACAGACAAGAUCCAGAUGGGACCCUGAAGACUGGUUCUGCCGCUCUCACCUCCUUUUGCCCCUCCCUACCAUCCUGCCUCUGGCUCUCCUCUGCCCCUACCCCUACCCUUCAGCCCCAGUGUGUCCCAUGGCACCACCCUCUGCUCCUCAGGUGGAGCAGCUCUUUGGGUUGGGUCUGCGGCCGCGAAGCGAGUGCCACAAGGUGCUGGAGAUGUGUGACUGGAACCUGGAGCAGGCAGGCUGCCACCUCCUGGGCUCCUGCGGCCCCGCCCACCACAAGCGCUGAGAUGUCUGAAGAGCCAGAGGGUCUGCCCUGAAGGAAUCACUUGAGCCUGUCCAUCUGACAAGGGUGGGGAGAAGACCUGCCCAGGCCUGGAGGACCUGCUGCCACUUGCCGUGGCAGAGCAAAGCCAAGGCAGCAAGAGACUGGGAGCCCCGCCUUGCUGUCCCUCCCUCACCCAGUGCUGUCCCUGCAACUUUGGAUCAGCUCUUGGUGCCCUUGGCCAAGGGGUGGGAAGGAACCCCAUGAAGGCAGGUCUGGUGGCCGCCUCAGCAGGCCCUGCAGCUGACCUGCUUCUGGCUCCAGCCCUGGUUGGGCCUGUGGCCGGAGUGUGUUUCCAUGCUCUGCCAGUGGGGAAGCAGGGCUUGACUCGUGCAGGGAGGAUGUGUUGGCCACACAGAAAGGUGGACCAGCACCCAGCAAGCCCUCCCAGGGUAGGGCCCUUCUCCAGGGAUCCCCUGGAGGGCAGUUAGGGUGUCGGAGAGAAUGUGACUUGUGGCCUCACCAUGGAUAUGUUAUGGGACUAGGCUGGUCUCAGGAUCUUGUGCCUGGAAAUAGCCCUGAGUGGCUCAGGAAGCAGAGCGAGGGUGCCAGAUUGUUCUCUGGCAGGGACCAGGGCCCAAGGCCCCAGGGUUGGAAGGAGACCAAGGGGGCAGCUGCCCUGGAGGGAUACCAGUGCUUCCUCUUUGACCCAGCUCCUCCCCUGUGCUGUUCUGUGUUUUCCUACCAGCCUGUGUCGCCAAAGUUGCUGCCCCAGCUAUGGAUACCUGCUUCUUCCAGAGAAAUAAAGUUAGUUUCUAUUUUAUGUUA
Acinonyx jubatus (cheetah) is the source of this 4507-nucleotide RNA transcript. It is a transcript of the gene named tyrosine kinase non receptor 2, with no coding region annotated. The transcript has 15 exons. The record is from RefSeq and is a predicted model, not a curated record. NCBI's taxonomy places the organism in Eukaryota, Metazoa, Chordata, Mammalia, Carnivora, Felidae.